GACAGAGGGUGCAAACGUUGUUCGGAAUUACUGGGCGUAAAGCGCGUGUAGGCGGUUCGGUAAGUCGGAUGUGAAAGCCCCGGGCUCGACCCGGGAAGUGCACUCGAUACUGCCGAGCUAGAGUAUCGGAGAGGUUGGUGGAAUUCUCGGUGUAGAGGUGAAAUUCGUAGAUAUCGAGAGGAACACCGGUGGCGAAGGCGGCCAACUGGACGAAUACUGACGCUGAUGCUCGAAAGCUAGGGGAGCAAACAGG
RNAcentral lists this ribosomal RNA (253 nucleotides) under uncultured bacterium. Its description in RNAcentral is "partial 16S ribosomal RNA". It matches the Rfam family "Bacterial small subunit ribosomal RNA", at positions 524 to 776 of the family's 1533-position model. The record is from RNAcentral.